Molecule: ribosomal RNA, 395 nt
Filed under: uncultured bacterium
Lineage: Bacteria
Description: bacterial SSU rRNA
Rfam family: Bacterial small subunit ribosomal RNA
Source: RNAcentral
AGAGUUUGAUCCUGGCUCAGAUUGAACGCUGGCGGCGUGCUUAACACAUGCAAGUCGUGCGAGAAAGGGGACUUCGGUCCCUGAGUAGAGCGGCGCACGGGUGAGUAACGCGUGGAUAAUCUCCCCAGAAGUUCGGGAUAACGGCGGGAAACUGCCGCUAAUACCGGAUACGCUCCAAUUUCGGUUGGGGGAAAGGCGGCCUCUGUUUACAAGCUGUCGCUUCUGGAUGAGUCCGCGUCCCAUUAGCUUGUUGGUGGGGUAAUGGCCUACCAAGGCUACGAUGGGUAGCUGGUCUGAGAGGAUGAUCAGCCACACUGGAACUGAAACACGGUCCAGACUCCUACGGGAGGCAGCAGUGGGGAAUAUUGCGCAAUGGGGGAAACCCUGACGCAGCG